Long non-coding RNA from Cercocebus atys (sooty mangabey), 1119 nucleotides. RefSeq lists it as uncharacterized. Lineage: Eukaryota; Metazoa; Chordata; Mammalia; Primates; Cercopithecidae. The transcript has 5 exons. The record is from RefSeq and is a predicted model, not a curated record.
GGAAGCAGUACCCGAGGAGAGAAAAUUAACACAGUGUCUAUGAAACGGGAGUCAAUCCCGUGUCAAGCAGCAUGCUACUAAAUGUAAACCCAGUUUUGCCUUUUCCAGAAUGUCAUGAAAAUGGAAUCAGACCGUAUGUAGCCUUUUGAGGAUAGUGGAUCUCCCCCGCCACCCCAACUCUAGUGAGCUUUCAGAUGAGAUUGUAGCCGCAGAUGACAAUGUUUUCAAAGAACCACCCAGUACUUUCAUCAACAAACCCACAUGCCAGAAGAGCUCAGCAAUAUUAACACUAAAGCCCUGGAAGGCUUAUGUGGCUAGCCCUGGGCUCCCAGUGAGUGAGUCAAUGAAUGUGAUCCUGUCCAGGAAAUAAGUCUCAAAACCUCAAGUUGCACAUCUAUUUGCCACUUUGGACAGUUGGUUGCUAACCAUACUUAAUCAUAAGGCUGUUUAUGAACAUUUCUGCACUAUCAUGACCUUGGCAUCGUUAUAUUCUAGGGAAAAGCCCUGCAAAAGUGGCCAUUAUUUCCAACAACAGAAAAAAAGAUGGAGGCCUAGACAGGUCUGAAUAAGUUGCCUAAGAUUUCACAGAGAAGACUCUUCAGUAUUCCGUCGUGGAAUGGUAAAGAUCUGGCUGCCAGGAUUCAGUAAGAAAAGGAGGAUGCUGGCCUUCUUAUCCAUCAUGUAAAUGUCCUCUGUUUUGAGGAUGGUCCCUCUGUCAUCUACCAUAUCCAGUAUUCUUAACAUAUCCAAAAUAAACAGCCACACACUUAGUGAAAUCAUAUGUGCAUUUUUAAAGAAUAAAUACCUUUAUAUUUCAUUUGUAUAACAUUUUAUUGUUUGCAUAUUGCAUAGUGAAAAGAACAGAGUCAGAAGACUCAUGGUCAGGCUCAACUGCUAACUUGCUGUGUAAAUUGGGUAGAUCUCUUAACCUUGCUAAACUCUUAUUUCCUCAUCUGAAAAAUGGAGAUAAUACUUAUUUUACAGAAUUGCUAAAUACUGAAUGAGAUACUUAUACUGUUUUCCUCUUAGGUAAUUAGUCAAAAUAACUCUAUAGUUUGCUACUGCUAACCCCUUGUUCAUCAUCUCAAUGCUGUUCUCAAUAAAUGCAUUAAGACAACA